RNAcentral lists this ribosomal RNA (1506 nucleotides) under Escherichia coli. RNAcentral describes it as "partial 23S ribosomal RNA". It matches the Rfam family "Bacterial large subunit ribosomal RNA", at positions 1462 to 2925 of the family's 2925-position model. The record is from RNAcentral. Lineage: Bacteria; Pseudomonadati; Pseudomonadota; Gammaproteobacteria; Enterobacterales; Enterobacteriaceae.
CGAAGGGGGGACGGAGAAGGCUAUGUUGGCCGGGCGACGGUUGUCCCGGUUUAAGCGUGUAGGCUGGUUUUCCAGGCAAAUCCGGAAAAUCAAGGCUGAGGCGUGAUGACGAGGCACUACGGUGCUGAAGCAACAAAUGCCCUGCUUCCAGGAAAAGCCUCUAAGCAUCAGGUAACAUCAAAUCGUACCCCAAACCGACACAGGUGGUCAGGUAGAGAAUACCAAGGCGCUUGAGAGAACUCGGGUGAAGGAACUAGGCAAAAUGGUGCCGUAACUUCGGGAGAAGGCACGCUGAUAUGUAGGUGAAGUCCCUCGCGGAUGGAGCUGAAAUCAGUCGAAGAUACCAGCUGGCUGCAACUGUUUAUUAAAAACACAGCACUGUGCAAACACGAAAGUGGACGUAUACGGUGUGACGCCUGCCCGGUGCCGGAAGGUUAAUUGAUGGGGUCAGCGCAAGCGAAGCUCUUGAUCGAAGCCCCGGUAAACGGCGGCCGUAACUAUAACGGUCCUAAGGUAGCGAAAUUCCUUGUCGGGUAAGUUCCGACCUGCACGAAUGGCGUAAUGAUGGCCAGGCUGUCUCCACCCGAGACUCAGUGAAAUUGAACUCGCUGUGAAGAUGCAGUGUACCCGCGGCAAGACGGAAAGACCCCGUGAACCUUUACUAUAGCUUGACACUGAACAUUGAGCCUUGAUGUGUAGGAUAGGUGGGAGGCUUUGAAGUGUGGACGCCAGUCUGCAUGGAGCCGACCUUGAAAUACCACCCUUUAAUGUUUGAUGUUCUAACGUGGACCCGUGAUCCGGGUUGCGGACAGUGUCUGGUGGGUAGUUUGACUGGGGCGGUCUCCUCCUAAAGAGUAACGGAGGAGCACGAAGGUUGGCUAAUCCUGGUCGGACAUCAGGAGGUUAGUGCAAUGGCAUAAGCCAGCUUGACUGCGAGCGUGACGGCGCGAGCAGGUGCGAAAGCAGGUCAUAGUGAUCCGGUGGUUCUGAAUGGAAGGGCCAUCGCUCAACGGAUAAAAGGUACUCCGGGGAUAACAGGCUGAUACCGCCCAAGAGUUCAUAUCGACGGCGGUGUUUGGCACCUCGAUGUCGGCUCAUCACAUCCUGGGGCUGAAGUAGGUCCCAAGGGUAUGGCUGUUCGCCAUUUAAAGUGGUACGCGAGCUGGGUUUAGAACGUCGUGAGACAGUUCGGUCCCUAUCUGCCGUGGGCGCUGGAGAACUGAGGGGGGCUGCUCCUAGUACGAGAGGACCGGAGUGGACGCAUCACUGGUGUUCGGGUUGUCAUGCCAAUGGCACUGCCCGGUAGCUAAAUGCGGAAGAGAUAAGUGCUGAAAGCAUCUAAGCACGAAACUUGCCCCGAGAUGAGUUCUCCCUGACCCUUUAAGGGUCCUGAAGGAACGUUGAAGACGACGACGUUGAUAGGCCGGGUGUGUAAGCGCAGCGAUGCGUUGAGCUAACCGGUACUAAUGAACCGUGAGGCUUAACCUUACAACGCCGAAGGUGUUU